CACGUAGGGGGCAAGCGUUGUCCGGAUUUAUUGGGCGUAAAGAGCUCGUAGGCGGUUCGAUAAGUCGGGUGUGAAACCUCCAGGCUCAACCUGGAGACGCCACCCGAUACUGUCGUGACUAGAGUCCAGUAGGGGAGCGUGGAAUUCCUGGUGUAGCGGUGAAAUGCGCAGAUAUCAGGAGGAACACCAGUGGCGAAGGCGGCGCUCUGGGCUGGAACUGACGCUGAGGAGCGAAAGCGUGGGGAGCGAA
RNAcentral lists this ribosomal RNA (250 nucleotides) under uncultured bacterium. RNAcentral's name for it is "partial 16S ribosomal RNA". It matches the Rfam family "Bacterial small subunit ribosomal RNA", at positions 524 to 772 of the family's 1533-position model. The record is from RNAcentral.